UCGAACAGACCUAAAUUUUUUAGCUUCUACACCAAAAUUUUAUUUUAAUCCAACAUCGAGGUCGCAAUCUUUUUUUUCGAUUAGAACUCUCAAAAAAAAUUACGCUGUUAUCCCUAAGGUAAUUUAAUCUUAAAAUCUUAAAAAAAGGAUCAAUCACUCAUAAAUAAAUGUUCUAAUAAAAAAAAAGUUCUUCAAAUUUUUCAAUCACCCCAACCAAAUUAAACUUCAUUUAAAAAUAAGUAUAUCCCAAUAACUCUUAAAUAAAUUUUUAAUAAAACUCUAUAGGGUCUUCUCGUCUUUAAUUAAAAUUUAAGCUUUUUAACUUAAAAAUAAAAUUCUAAAUAAUUUAAAUAGAGACAGUUAUUUUUUCAUCUAACCUUUCAUUCCAGCUUUCAAUUAAAAAACUAAUUAUUAUGCUACCUUUGCACGGUCAAAUUACCGCGGCCAUUUAAAUUCUCAUAGGGCAGGCUGGACCUUAAAUUAUACUCAAAAA
Molecule: ribosomal RNA, 493 nt
Filed under: Apotomorhamphus sp. 3 MB-2015
Lineage: Eukaryota; Metazoa; Arthropoda; Insecta; Coleoptera; Curculionidae
Description: partial 16S ribosomal RNA
Source: RNAcentral